GUUUGAUGGCGACCGGCGCACGGGUGAGUAACACGUAUCCAACCUGCCGAUGACUCGGGGAUAGCCUUUCGAAAGAAAGAUUAAUACCCGAUGGCAUAGUCCUUCCGCAUGGUAGAACUAUUAAAGAAUUUCGGUCAUCGAUGGGGAUGCGUUCCAUUAGGUUGUUGGCGGGUAACGGCCCACCAAGCCUUCGAUGGAUAGGGGUUCUGAGAGGAAGGUCCCCCACAUUGGAACUGAGACACGGUCCAAACUCCUACGGGAGGCAGCAUG
This 270-nucleotide ribosomal RNA is filed under the name uncultured bacterium. RNAcentral describes it as "partial 16S ribosomal RNA". It matches the Rfam family "Bacterial small subunit ribosomal RNA", at positions 83 to 353 of the family's 1533-position model. The record is from RNAcentral.